Molecule: ribosomal RNA, 305 nt
Filed under: uncultured bacterium
Lineage: Bacteria
Description: bacterial SSU rRNA
Rfam family: Bacterial small subunit ribosomal RNA
Source: RNAcentral
UCCUACGGGACGCAGUAGGGAAUAUUGCACAAUGGGCGAAAGCCUGAUGCAGCAACGCCGCGUGAGCGAUGAAGGCCUUCGGGUCGUAAAGCUCUGUCCUCAAGGAAGAUAAUGACGGUACUUGAGGAGGAAGCCCCGGCUAACUACGUGCCAGCAGCCGCGGUAAUACGUAGGGGGCUAGCGUUAUCCGGAAUUACUGGGCGUAAAGGGUGCGUAGGUGGUUUCUUAAGUCAGAGGUGAAAGGCUAAGGCUCAACCGUAGUAAGCCUUUGAAACUGGGAAACUUGAGUGCAGGAGAGGUGUGUG